GGACUGUAUCUGUCAUUUUUGCCGUCCAAUUACUGUCAAAAACUGGAACGGGCGAUGCCGAUUCCAGCUUUUGACAGUAAUUGGACGGCAAAAUUGACAGAUAAAGUCCG
This 110-nucleotide microRNA precursor is filed under the name Anopheles sinensis. RNAcentral describes it as "microRNA MIR158". Lineage: Eukaryota; Metazoa; Arthropoda; Insecta; Diptera; Culicidae. The record is from RNAcentral.